RNAcentral lists this ribosomal RNA (789 nucleotides) under uncultured bacterium. RNAcentral describes it as "bacterial SSU rRNA". It matches the Rfam family "Bacterial small subunit ribosomal RNA", at positions 8 to 798 of the family's 1533-position model. The record is from RNAcentral.
AGAGUUUGAUCAUGGCUCAGGACGAACGCUGGCGGCGUGCUUAACACAUGCAAGUCGAACGGAAAGGCCCCUUCGGGGGUACUCGAGUGGCGAACGGGUGAGUAACACGUGGGUGAUCUGCCCUGCACUUUGGGAUAAGCCUGGGAAACUGGGUCUAAUACCGAAUAGGACCGCAUGCUUCAUGGUGUGUGGUGGAAAGCUUUUGCGGUGUGGGAUGGGCCCGCGGCCUAUCAGCUUGUUGGUGGGGUAAUGGCCUACCAAGGCGACGACGGGUAGCCGGCCUGAGAGGGUGUCCGGCCACACUGGGACUGAGAUACGGCCCAGACUCCUACGGGAGGCAGCAGUGGGGAAUAUUGCACAAUGGGCGCAAGCCUGAUGCAGCGACGCCGCGUGGGGGAUGACGGCCUUCGGGUUGUAAACCUCUUUCAGUAUCGGCGAAGCUCCAGGAUUUUUCUUGGGGUGACGGUAGGUACAGAAGAAGCACCGGCCAACUACGUGCCAGCAGCCGCGGUAAUACGUAGGGUGCGAGCGUUGUCCGGAAUUACUGGGCGUAAAGAGCUCGUAGGUGGUUUGUCACGUUGUCUGUGAAAACUCACAGCUUAACUGUGGGCGUGCGGGCGAUACGGGCAGACUGGAGUACUGUAGGGGAGACUGGAAUUCCCGGUGUAGCGGUGGAAUGCGCAGAUAUCAGGAGGAACACCGGUGGCGAAGGCGGGUCUCCGGGCAGUAACUGACGCUGAGGAGCGAAAGCGUGGGGAGCGAACAGGAUUAGAUACCCUGGUAGUCCAA